GAGGAGAAGAGCUACUGGAGACAAGAAAUAUAUUGAAGUUAUAGUUGUUCUUGACAAAAGAUCGGUAAAUUUUGGAUUCUCAUCAUUUCAGGUGAUACGUUGAGAGAGUUUCAAAAAUAUUCUGCUGAUGUUAUACACGGAAGGUUAAAUUUAAGUCCAGAUAACAUGCAAUUAUUAAGUUAAUUGACUUGGCUUAAUUUUUCUUGAAUUGUUCCACUGUCAUUCAGUUUGGUUGAUUCUUGGAGUUUCGUCCAAGGUUACAUGGCUUUGUUUAUCUGGAUGGCAUUGAUUUUGAAGGAUCUUUAGUUGGAAUGGCUGGUAUAGGUGUGAUAUGCUCGGAGGGAUCUUGUGCUGUCAAUCAGGAGGUGAUUGUAAAUGUUUAAAGACUCUCUGUGUAAUGGGUGCAUAUGCUCCGUCAACACAAGUAAAAGGCUUUUUAUCCUGUGUUCAUGACACAUACAGAGAAAGAUUACAGAAAGGAUUGAUACCCUGUGUAUUUAAUUAUCCUGACCAUUUACAUGGUGGCUCAAAAUGUGGAAAUGGUUUUAUCGAGAGAGGAGAAUCAUGUGACUGUGGAACACCUGAAGAAUGUAAGGCGUCUGGAGCAGAUGCAUGCUGUUCACCAAAAACUUGUAAGUUACAAAAUACAGCACAAUGUGCAACUGGACCCUGUUGUGACAAAUGCAAGUUUAAAGCUCAAGGGAAACUUUGUCGGGAUAAACUUGACAAAGAUUGUGAUUUACCAGAAUAUUGUACUGGCAAAUCUAGCGAGACUUUAAUAAAAGGAUGAAAUAAAGACUAUAUCUGAGUUACAACCCUUUUUGCAGUGUCCAAGAAAUUUUUAUGUAAAGGAUGGUGUUUCUUGUCAUGGCAAUAAGAUGCUGUGAAAGCUCACAAUGUUUGUUUCAGACAGAAUGAAAAAUCUGCGAAUGAGUGGGGAAAUUGUGGAAAAAAUAACCGUGGUGAAUUUA
RNA transcript from Hydractinia symbiolongicarpus, 971 nucleotides. It is a transcript of the gene named zinc metalloproteinase-disintegrin-like bothrojarin-4, with no coding region annotated. Lineage: Eukaryota; Metazoa; Cnidaria; Hydrozoa; Anthoathecata; Hydractiniidae. The transcript is spliced from 11 exons. The record is from RefSeq and is a predicted model, not a curated record.